Molecule: unclassified non-coding RNA, 330 nt
Filed under: uncultured fungus
Lineage: Eukaryota; Fungi
Description: sequence contains ITS1
Rfam family: 5.8S ribosomal RNA (bases 1-106)
Source: RNAcentral
CAAGUGUGAUAAUUAGUGUGAAUUGCAGAAUAUCGCGAAUCAUCGAAACCUUGAAUGUAAAUGGUGGGAUUUGCCUCUGGCAUUUCCUUUACCCGUAUGAGUGUCUAUUUUUUCAAGUCCGAUACGUCGGGUAUAAAUGACCGUUGACAAUAACAAAAUUCGUCAUUGGUUUAAAUUUUUUUUGUUUUUCCGUAAUGAUGCCGGUAAAUUUUUGUUUAUGAUCUGCAUGUUCUUGGAUAAAAAUUUAUCUUUUUUUUUUACGGGUAAUAAAUGAAAUAUAUAUUUUUUUUACUUGGACCUCAUGCGGGUAAGACUACCCGCUGAAUUUAA